UCAGUUUUACAGGAUUGUCCUACGGCAGC
This 29-nucleotide non-coding RNA is filed under the name Mus musculus (house mouse). Lineage: Eukaryota; Metazoa; Chordata; Mammalia; Rodentia; Muridae. The record is from RNAcentral.